Long non-coding RNA from Impatiens glandulifera, 437 nucleotides. RefSeq lists it as uncharacterized. The transcript is spliced from 3 exons. The record is from RefSeq and is a predicted model, not a curated record. Lineage: Eukaryota; Viridiplantae; Streptophyta; Magnoliopsida; Ericales; Balsaminaceae.
UUUUUUCAUUUUUCCUUCUCUUCUCCUCAGCCAUUGCCAAACAGAGAGAAAAUGGCGAUUCAGAUAUCGAGUAAGCCAUGGUUCCUCGACGCAAUUCCUAUCUUGGUAGCAAUUUUAAUUGUUGCUCAUGUACUCGCUCUGGUUUACUGGAUUUACAGAUUAGUUAGAACUGAGAAACAGCCAAUGAGGAGAAAGGAAAGCUAGCUACAAGUUGUUUAGUUUGCAGAAGAAGAAGAAGAAGAAGAUGAAGAAGAAAUAUUUUCUGCAGAUUAAUUAAUCAUGGGUUGUUGGAUGGAUGGAUAGAAACACAACUUUCUCUACUGAAAUGUAUUCAGUAAAAGCAUUGUUGCAGAUUAAUCAAGCUGUUUUUGUAUCAUUCUCAUAUUGUCUAGGUGAGUCUUUUCCAACAAAAUUAAAUGAAUUGAUUGCACUUCUUU